AUUGAACGCUGGCGGCAGGCCUAACACAUGCAAGUCGAACGAGUGGCGGACGGGUGAGUAAUGUCUGGGAAACUGCAUGAUGGAGGGGGAUAACUACUGGAAACGGUAGCUAAUACCGCAUACCAUCAGAUGUGCCCAGAUGGGAUUAGCUUGUUGGUGGGGUAACGGCUCACCAAGGCGACGAUCCCUAGCUGGUCUGAGAGGAUGACCACCCUCACUGGAACUGAGACACGGUCCAGACUCCUCCAUGACUCAUCAUUUUCUAAUAUUGCACAAUUGGCGCAAGCCUGAUUCAGCCAUGCCGCGUGUAUGAAGAAUUCCUUCGGGUUUUAAAGUACUUUCAGCGGGGAGGCGUUACCCGCAGAAGAAGCACCGGCUAACUCCGUGCCAGCAGCCGCGGUAAUAC
This 406-nucleotide ribosomal RNA is filed under the name uncultured bacterium. RNAcentral's name for it is "partial 16S ribosomal RNA". It matches the Rfam family "Bacterial small subunit ribosomal RNA", at positions 30 to 526 of the family's 1533-position model. The record is from RNAcentral.